CCUACGGGAGGCAGCAGUGAGGAAUAUUGGUCAAUGGGCGCGAGCCUGAACCAGCCAAGUAGCGUGAAGGAUGACUGCCCUACGGGUUGUAAACUGCUUUUAUAAAGGAAUAAAGUGAGGCACGUGUGCCUUUUUGUAUGUACUUUAUGAAUAAGGAUCGGCUAACUCCGUGCCAGCAGCCGCGGUAAUACGGAGGAUCCGAGCGUUAUCCGGAUUUCUUGGGUUUAAAGGGAGCGUAGAUGGGUUGUUAAGUCAGUUGUGAAAGUUUGCGGCUCAACCGUGAAAUUGCAAUUGAUACUGGCAGUCUUGAGUACAGUUGACGUAGGCGGAAUUCGUGGUGUAGCGGU
RNAcentral lists this ribosomal RNA (347 nucleotides) under uncultured bacterium. RNAcentral describes it as "partial 16S ribosomal RNA". It matches the Rfam family "Bacterial small subunit ribosomal RNA", at positions 338 to 682 of the family's 1533-position model. The record is from RNAcentral.